This 495-nucleotide ribosomal RNA is filed under the name uncultured bacterium. Its description in RNAcentral is "partial 16S ribosomal RNA". It matches the Rfam family "Bacterial small subunit ribosomal RNA", at positions 28 to 507 of the family's 1533-position model. The record is from RNAcentral.
GACGAACGCUGGCGGCGUGCCUAAUACAUGCAAGUAGAACGCUGCAGGCGGAGCUUGCUUCUCCGGAUGAGUUGCGAACGGGUGAGUAACGCGUAGGUAACCUGCCUGGUAGCGGGGGAUCACUAUUGGAAACGAUAGCUAAUACCGCAUAACAGUAGAUGUUGCAUGACAUUUGCUUAAAAGGUGCAAUUGCAUCACUACCAGAUGGCCCUGCGUUGUAUUAGCUAGUUGUGGAGGUAACGGCUCACCAAGGCGACGAUACCUAGCCGACCUGAGAGGGUGAGCGGCCACACUGGGACGGGGAGACGGCCCAGACUCCUACGGGAGGCAGCAGUAGGGAAUCUUCGGCAAUGGACGGAAGUCUGAACGAGCAACGCCGCGUGAGUGAAGAAGGUUUUCGGAUCGUAAAGCUCUGUUGUAAGAGAAGAACGAGUGUGAGAGUGGAAAGGUCACACUGUGACGGUAUCUUACCAGAAAGGGACGGCUAACUACGUG